AAGCUACUCCCUCCGUUCGGAAUUACUUGUCUCGAAAAUGGAUGUAUCUAGAACUAAAAUACGUCUAGAUACAUCCAUUUUCGCGACAAGUAAUUCCGAGCGGAGGGAGUAGCUA
Triticum aestivum (bread wheat) is the source of this 115-nucleotide non-coding RNA. NCBI's taxonomy places the organism in Eukaryota, Viridiplantae, Streptophyta, Magnoliopsida, Poales, Poaceae. The record is from Rfam.